This 1972-nucleotide long non-coding RNA is filed under the name Ananas comosus (pineapple). RNAcentral describes it as "long non-coding RNA (ACOM_LNC031936)". Lineage: Eukaryota; Viridiplantae; Streptophyta; Magnoliopsida; Poales; Bromeliaceae. The record is from RNAcentral.
AGUAACAUAUUAAAAAAAAAUAAAAAUUUCUUUUUAUUUUCUUAAAUUUUCAUCGUAACUAGUAACAUUAUUUGAUUCAUCGCAAUUAUUCUAUUUUUUUUAAAUGAAAAUUGCUAAUGUACACCAUAUAUACAUAUGGAGUGUAAAAUUUACACCUCUGUAUUACGGGAUUUAAAAAAUUUCUUUGAAAAUAGAAUAAACUUCAAAUACCCUGUAUGUGGUUUCACACGUUUUUACUUUAGUACCACGAGAUACUAAAUCAAUGCACUUUAAACUGUAGGAUACUAAAGUGAGAAAGUACGAACCACAGGAUACUAAAUUAAUACAUUUUAAAUCACAGAGUAUUAAAGUAAAAAAAAUGCAAAAUCAUAGAAAUGGUAGUUGAAGUUUUUUCUUAAAACUAAGUAACAUCCAAAAAGAAGAACCAUGUUUACAAUGGUAAAUUUUAAACUUCCAGAUACAAGAGAGUAUGAUAUGCAUUCCUAUAUCGAGCUUUGAUCAUUUCCCAUAUAAAAAUUUAAACCAACUUGUUACUUCUAAUAAUUUUAUAAUUAUGAAAAUUAUAUUUAAGUAAACAUAUAAAGAUAAAAGACGCAUUUAAAUUUUCAAGUCAUAAUAUCAUUGAUUCACUGAAAUCAAAUAAAUUAAAAAAAUAAAUAAUAAAAUUAAAAUUUCGAAAAGGUCAGAUAGGUGAUUGAAAAUAAUUCACAGUUCAAAUAAAUGUGAUAUAUUUUUAUCAAAAAAUUAAAUAUUUGAAUAAAUAUGUAAUUUUUUUAAAAUUAAAUAAGGUAACUAAAGUUUCUCAAAAUAUCCGAUAUUCCAUAUCCGAUCCGGACCUUAUCCGAACCCUACUCGGACCCAAUAAAAAAUAGAUAGUAUAUGGGUUAAAAAAAUUAUCCGAUAAAGUUUCGUGUAUUGGUCCGGAAACUUUAUACCGAUAAUCAAUUUGAACCCCACCCGAACUUGACCUUUUAAUGAAUCGGAUCCCAAAGAGUUUUCAAAUCUAGACUUGAUUCAGACCUAAACCUAAACCCCAUACUGGACCCAGUGAAAUACCCGAUAGUUAAUAAAAGAUAUUUAAAGUUGAGAGAUCAAUUUCAAUAAGAAUUAUAAAUGAUAAAUGAAAGCUUUUUGUAUAUUUGCACCCUAGGAAAAUCUUAGUCACUUUAUUUACUCCUUUUUUAUUUUUUUAUUUUUUUUAUUUAUUUUAUCUUAGCCGUUCUGUUUAUUGUUUGAAUCGUUCAUUUGAACGAAUUUUAUUGAACUGAACGCAAUUUAUUAGAACGUGAGUUUUCCAUAGUGGGAGAUUUAUGGGUUAUCCAUAAAUUGUUUAAUAAUGUCUAUAAAAGAUAUAUGCAUACGGGUAUCUAUACCAGAUUUAAACACCACCUGUACCCGACUCCUACCCGGUCUUAAACGGAUAAUAUACAAAUAGUCACUAUCUAGAUCCACUCAAAAAGACCCAAUAAGUAUAUUAUUAACUUUGUACCUAGAUUCGAAUCUUAUCCGAAAUUAAAUGAAUAGAAUAUAUAUAUAUAUAUAAUCUUUUUUUUUAAGAGUACGGGUAGAGUAUAUCUACUAUUCACAUCCCACCGUCAACAGACACCUAUGUAUAGAUAAAUUUUAAAUAUUUUUUUAAACUACAGCGUUGGCGCCUUUUUGGGACAUUGAUCAUUUUUGUCGGGGUUAAUUACACCGGUAGUUCCCAACCUUUUCACCAAUUUUUACUUGAGUCCUCAAUCUUUUUCUUUUUGCAAUUGAGUUCCUAAUCUUUUAAUUUUAUUACAAUUAAGUCCCAACUGUUAAAAAAAGGAUUAAAAUUAACGAAAUUGCUACGUCAGUGCCUAUGUGGCAACAUUUUGCAUGUCAAUUAGGUCCCUAAACUUUGCACGUUUUUUAUUUUAGUCCCUAAAAAAAUUCAAAAUUUUAAAUUUAAAUUCAAAAAUAAUAUUAAAAUUAAAAUUUUAAACUA